GCCUCGGCUAACUACGUGCCAGCAGCCGCGGUAAAACGUAGGAGGCGAGCGUUAUCCGGAUUUACUGGGUGUAAAGCGCGUGCAGGCGGUUUGCUAAGUUGGAUGUGAAAGCUCCUGGCUCAACUGGGAGAGGUCGUUCAAGACUGGCAGACUGGAGAGCAGUAGGGGAAGGUGGAAUUCCGGGUGUAGUGGUGAAAUGCGUAGAUAUCCGGAGGAACACCAGUGGCGAAAGCGGCCUUCUGGACUGCAUCUGACGCUCAGACGCGAAAGCUAGGGGAGCAAACGGGAUUAGAGACCCCGGUAGUCCUAGCCGUAAACAAUGUGAACUUGGCGCUGGACGGGUAAAACCGAUCAGUGCCGAAGCAAACGCGAUAAGUUCACCACCUGGGGACUACGGCCGCA
Molecule: ribosomal RNA, 402 nt
Filed under: uncultured bacterium
Lineage: Bacteria
Description: bacterial SSU rRNA
Rfam family: Bacterial small subunit ribosomal RNA
Source: RNAcentral